UGUUCUUAUUCGCUGACAUUUGUUUUCCAAUUGCGUGAAAUUUGGUCAUUUCCUUAGUGUUUCGCUGACCGACCUGUGCUGGUAUUGUGAUUAAGAGCUAAUACACAUUUUUCGGACGAUUCUGCUGUGCUGCGUUCCUGCUCCGCCUGUAUUUUAUAGUGUUGCGUUCCUGUUGCGCCUUUGCAUUAGUGUGUGCGUUGUGAUUUAGACACGUUGAAAUUUUUUGUAUGCUUCUGCUGUGCUGCGUUCCUGCUCCACCCGUGUAUUAGAUUGCUGCGUUCCUGUUAACAUACAUAUCGUCGCUUAAAGUACAAAACCGCGUAACUGACAUUUGCUGCUAAAAAUUGGAUUCGCUCACACACGUUUUUGGAUCAAUCCUUAUCCAUUCUUCCUGAAAUAUACUAGCCAAAAAUGCGAUUGCUUUUUACAAAAAGAUAACCAUUUUGAAAUAUGAGUGUUUUUACUCUCUAGAAAUUAAUUUAUGCAACCUCGCAUACGUGGGUUUGCAUUAUCUCUAUACGCGGUUUUGCAAUUUAUUGAUACAUGGUUUUGUACUUUAAACGACGAUAUGUA
Molecule: long non-coding RNA, 573 nt
Organism: Rhagoletis pomonella (apple maggot)
Lineage: Eukaryota; Metazoa; Arthropoda; Insecta; Diptera; Tephritidae
Exons: 4
Source: RefSeq, a predicted model, not a curated record